Long non-coding RNA from Alligator mississippiensis (American alligator), 336 nucleotides. RefSeq lists it as uncharacterized. The transcript has 2 exons. Lineage: Eukaryota; Metazoa; Chordata; Crocodylia; Alligatoridae. The record is from RefSeq and is a predicted model, not a curated record.
UCUUUGUCUUCCCCUGAGUGAGGAUAUAGCAAUCCCUCUCUGACGGAAAUCAGAAGUUUGAUCCAACAAACCCACUGAAGGCUACCUGUGGCUCACUUCUACAGAUAAAACCUGAAAGUCGGUUGACACUAGAAUCUCUAAAAGAUGUCACAUGGAACAGAAGGGCCGAAUGCUCAGAUCAAGCAAAGAGGGAGAACGGAUGUAUUACGCAAACUGCCACAGAGAGGAAAGUCUCACUGGUGUUUUUAGCUGAUGAGAGCGCUGCCCAGACCUGCAGCACGCUGGCAGAAUUCCCAUGUUUGAUGGUAAAACAGAAUAAACCUAUUUAGCAUUUAA